RNAcentral lists this long non-coding RNA (1406 nucleotides) under Marmota monax (woodchuck). The record is from RNAcentral. Lineage: Eukaryota; Metazoa; Chordata; Mammalia; Rodentia; Sciuridae.
GCCAGGUGCGAGCCGAAGACGAGAGGCCUGCGUCCAGGGCGCCGCGGGCUUUCGGCCGGUCCUCGGCUUUCUACGAGCGUCCCCAGAAUUUGCAAGUCACCCCCGUUAGCUCCAUUGCGACCUGACAGCAGCCUGCCGUCUGGGCUGAUUCAUUGGUUCGCCCUCCCCUUCCCGCCGGACCCGGGUGGGAAAUCCUUUGAAACGAGUUGUAAGGAGCUAGCUGCCCGCAGCGAUUAAGCUUAGGAAGAACCAUCCCUGCUCUCCCGGGAAACACCCGGGGUUAAGAAUCCUUUGAAACAAUCCCGGAGCUGGCUCCGUUAGCUUGAGAAAAGCCUCUUUUAUUCGCCCCAGUUGCUUGGACUGAAGCCCAGGUUAAGGUCCCGUCCCCACUCCUCCCUGCAGGGAUCGCCUGUAAAAAGCUUUUGAAAGGGACUGGAGCGGACUCUGCAGCAGCCCGCUCAGGGCUGGAUAGCAGAGGGCGGCCAGCAUUUCACUCCCAUGGACCAUGGCAACCCAGAAGUUUUGCAGCUCCAGGCAGGACUCAACAGCUGUCGGGGAAGCCCAGGAGUUUGCAGUGACUGAUGGAUAAGGGGCCCGGGCUUCCUCCUCUUUCCCGGUAGAAGAGAAUAAUCUGGAGGAAGGGUGACCUGCCCUGCUGACCUUUAUUCAAAAGCACCGAGCUGCCCAGACCAACAGACAUGCACACAGCUGGCGGAGGAAACCACCCUGGAAGUGCAGGAAAUUUUGAAAGAAAUGAAUUUAUCUGCGAGCCCCUCCCAUCCAUUCAAGUUCUUUAAAAUCACAGGAUAUUCUUUCACCUUAUUCGACAUCGCCCUAAUUUACAAAUUGCAAGAUCGGAUGGUGGCGGUACUCCUGGAAUCCAGUAUCCAUAUUCCUAUUCUGAAAAGCACACCUCACCUCCUUCACCUGGAACUCUUUUCAGCUUUUAAUAUGCAACCGAUGUGGUCAUAGAUGCCCUAGAAUGAAUAGAAGACCGCAGUGCUAAUGUGGGGUGAAACUGUUAACACUGGUUUUCUCUCUUCUACUCAUUCUGCUGAGCCUAUAUUUAUUUAAAAUAUGGCUGUUUUGUUACUCGUGGGUUAAUUGGCAUUGAUUCUGAUUUUUUUAAAUUGUAGUUGUAGAUGGACAGAAUGUUUUUAUUUUAUUUGUUUAUUUUUUUAUGUGGUGCUAAGGAUCCAACCCAAUGCUUCACACAUGCUAGGCAAGUGCUCUGCCACUGAGUUACAACCCCAGGCCCUAAUUCUGAUUUAAAAUAUUAUUAACCAGGACUAUUGACUUUUUAGCGCCCCCUUCAAUAUUGUGACCAAAGCACUAUAGAACUGAGAAAGUUUCCUCAGUCCUACCACAAAUGAAGCACUCAAAUUCUGUUUUUAGAUGGAUUCACU